This 449-nucleotide ribosomal RNA is filed under the name uncultured bacterium. RNAcentral's name for it is "partial 16S ribosomal RNA". It matches the Rfam family "Bacterial small subunit ribosomal RNA", at positions 29 to 523 of the family's 1533-position model. The record is from RNAcentral.
AACGAACGCAGGCGGCAUGCCUAACACAUGCAAGUCGAACGAGACCUUCGGGUCUAGUGGCGCACGGGUGCGUAACGCGUGGGAAUCUGCCCUUGGGUUCGGGAUAACAGUUGGAAACGACUGCUAAUACCGGAUGACGUCUUCGGACCAAAGAUUUAUCGCCCAGGGAUGAGCCCGCGUCGGAUUAGCUAGUGGGUAGGGUAAAAGCCUACCAAGGCGACGAUCCGUAGCUGGUCUGAGAGGAUGAUCAGCCACACUGGGACUGAGACACGGCCCCGCAUCCUACGGGAAGCAGCAGUGGGGAAUAUUGGACAAUGGGCGAAAGCCUGAUCCAGCAAUGCCGCGUGAGUGAUGAAGGCCUUAGGGUUGUAAAGCUCUUUUACCCGGGAUGAUAAUGACAGUACCGGGAGAAUAAGCCCCGGCUAACUCCGUGCCAGCCGCCGCGGUAA